GCUGGGCGCGGUGGCUCACGCCUGUAAUCCCAGCACUUUGGGAGGCCGAGGUGGGUGGAUCACCUGAGGUCAGGAGUUCAAGACCAGCCUGACCAACAUGGAGAAAACCCGUCUCUA
This 117-nucleotide non-coding RNA is filed under the name Homo sapiens (human). The record is from Rfam by way of RNAcentral. Lineage: Eukaryota; Metazoa; Chordata; Mammalia; Primates; Hominidae.